UCGGGAAUUUUGGGCAAUGGGCGAAAGCCUGACCCAGCAACGCCGCGUGAAGGAUGAAGUAUUUCGGUAUGUAAACUUCGUAAGAAUAGGAAGAAUAAAUGACGGUACUAUUUGUAAGGUCCGGCUAACUACGUGCCAGCAGCCGCGGUAAUACGUAGGGACCAAGCGUUGUUCGGAUUUACUGGGCGUAAAGGGCGCGUAGGCGGUGUGUCAAGUCAGUUGUGAAAUCUCCGAGCUUAACUCGGAACGGUCAACUGAUACUGUCACACUAGAGUACAGAAGGGGCAAUCGGAAUUCUUGGUGUAGCGGUGAAAUGCGUAGAUAUCAAGAGGAACACCUGAGGCGAAGGCGGGUUGCUGGGCUGAUACUGACGCUGAGGCGCGAAAGCUAGGGUAGCAAACGGGAUUAGAUACCCACGUAGUCCCUGAGCGGGCUG
This 436-nucleotide ribosomal RNA is filed under the name uncultured bacterium. RNAcentral describes it as "bacterial SSU rRNA". It matches the Rfam family "Bacterial small subunit ribosomal RNA", at positions 355 to 811 of the family's 1533-position model. The record is from RNAcentral.